AGCGAACGCUGGCGGCAGGCUUAACACAUGCAAGUCGAGCGGGCACUUUCGGGUGUCAGCGGCGGACGGGUGAGUAACGCGUGGGAACGUGCCCUCUGGUUCGGAAUAACUCAGGGAAACUUGAGCUAAUACCGGAUACGCCCUUUUGGGGAAAGGCUUGCUGCCGGAGGAUCGGCCCGCGUCUGAUUAGUUGGUUGGUGAGGUAACGGCUCACCAAGGCGACGAUCAGUAGCUGGUCUGAGAGGAUGAUCAGCCACACUGGGACUGAGACACGGCCCAGACUCCUACGGGAGGCAGCAGUGGGGAAUAUUGGACAAUGGGCGCAAGCCUGAUCCAGCCAUGCCGCGUGAGUGAUGAAGGCCUUAGGGUUGUAAAGCUCUUUUAUCCGGGACGAUAAUGACGGUACCGGAGGAAUAAGCCCCGGCUAACUUCGUG
This 435-nucleotide ribosomal RNA is filed under the name uncultured bacterium. Its description in RNAcentral is "partial 16S ribosomal RNA". It matches the Rfam family "Bacterial small subunit ribosomal RNA", at positions 29 to 507 of the family's 1533-position model. The record is from RNAcentral.